CAGUCGCCACGGGAAUACGUAGGGUGCGAGCGUUAAUCGGAAUUACUGGGCGUAAAGCGUGCGCAGGCGGUCAUAUAAGACAGAUGUGAAAUCCCCGGGCUCAACCUGGGACCUGCAUUUGUGACUGUAUAGCUAGAGUACGGUAGAGGGGGAUGGAAUUCCGCGUGUAGCAGUGAAAUGCGUAGAUAUGCGGAGGAACACCGAUGGCGAAGGCAAUCCCCUGGACCUGUACUGACGCUCAUGCACGAAAGCGUGGGGAGCGAACAGGAUUAGAUACCCGGGUAGUCCCUGUCUCUUAUAU
This 301-nucleotide ribosomal RNA is filed under the name uncultured bacterium. Its description in RNAcentral is "partial 16S ribosomal RNA". It matches the Rfam family "Bacterial small subunit ribosomal RNA", at positions 509 to 809 of the family's 1533-position model. The record is from RNAcentral.